GGAUCCUCUUUGUUGGAUCAUUCGCCGGAUCAAGAAAAUCCGCGUAUUUUUAUUCGGAUCCUACAUCAAACAAUUAAACUCUUUUUUGGGUAUAUAACCCUAGAUAUAAACAUUGAGACUCGAUUAUUAAACAUUGAGACGCCGCGGCGUUGAAGAAGAGAGAUCGUUGGAGGCAUGGUUGAGACGAGACGUCACAGCGAUUUUGCGCUUCUUCUCAGGAAACAAUAUAAUCACAACUUACCAACAAGAAAAAGGAGUUUACUCCAGCUGCUGGGAUUAUAUGCAGUCAGAUUUGAAGCAUAUGGCCUAAAAAAGGUUUUGGCGUACAUGUAGAACAUAUCAGGUAGAAGAAGAAAGUGAAGAACAGAUGUAUAAAGUAUAAUGAAGAGAACGAGGAAACCGUGGGAAGCAUCUCGAGAUGUUGAGAGCUGAAACUGAUGCUAAUCAGAAGAGAUAUGAGUUUGAAACUAAAGGAGAUAAUGUCUAGAAUUAUUAGUGUGUGAAGCUAAUCAUACAUCAUUUGUUCAGUAAUCCGAUUUUUGCAGAACAGAGGUCAUUAUGAGCUCUAUUCAUCGGUAUGAAAUAGAACAUAAACUAAGAUAUGCAAAUAUAUCAACUAGAGACGAUGACAUGCAACAGUACAGUUGUACUAAUAUACCAUUAUAUUAUGGGUUUGGUGGUUCUGAUCCACAAAAGUGCAUCAUCUAUUGAACUGCAACAUAUGGAGAAGGAAUAAACAUGAGAAGAAUUGAGAAAGUUUGAAUAGAACAAUACAGUAGAAGAGAAGCAGAUAAGUAGAGAAAAAGUGAAGGUGAUCAGACAGCCAUGUAAAAGCUCCACUUCAUUUAUGAGCAUUUGUUUUCUCAUGAUGUAUGCAAGUAAUACUUGCCAAGUAUAUUAGCUGCAUGAGUGUCUUCUUUUAGAUGAAUUUGGUAAUACAAAUCCCACGUGGUUUACUUAAACUUAA
Camelina sativa (false flax) is the source of this 967-nucleotide long non-coding RNA. RefSeq lists it as uncharacterized. NCBI's taxonomy places the organism in Eukaryota, Viridiplantae, Streptophyta, Magnoliopsida, Brassicales, Brassicaceae. The record is from RefSeq and is a predicted model, not a curated record.